Molecule: long non-coding RNA, 1186 nt
Organism: Haliotis rubra (blacklip abalone)
Lineage: Eukaryota; Metazoa; Mollusca; Gastropoda; Lepetellida; Haliotidae
Exons: 2
Source: RefSeq, a predicted model, not a curated record
GAUUCCAGAGAUAAGUGAAAUCAGAAUAGGUGAAGUCUACAGAGAUGAGUGAAAUCAGUCUAGGUGAGUCUAUAGGGAUGGUGAAAUCAGACUAGGUGAGUCUUGGCAGGCAUGUAAUCAACCAGAUGAGAUUCCAGAGAUAAGUGAAAUCAGAAUAGGUGAAGUCUACAGAGAUGAGUGAAAUCUGUCUAGGUGAGUCUAUAGGGAUGGUGAAAUCAGACUUGGUGUGUCUACAGAAUCUCAUCUUUAUUCAGCAACAUAUCUCAGUUUCCACUUUCCUUGUUUAUCAUCCAAGAUGGUUUCAUCAGCUCUGUUCCGUAUAAAUCAUUAUUAAGUUAUACUGUGAAUAAUUCAAUUUUACUGGAGAAUGUCUAGCUUGCACAAUUUUGGAACAUUUUGAUAGUCUAUAUACACUUCAGUGGAGUUCUUCAGUUACAAUCCUAUGGCCUGCAGGAGGCAAAUGUGUCUCUAAUAGGGUCCUUUAAGCAUGCCAGAUGAUAUUAUUAUUGGUUCAUUUGCCAGAUUCACUUUGCAACACUUUCCUCCUACAUCAGUCUGUGAUAUUACUUAAAUCCAGUUCCAAAUUGUGUUAAACCAAACUCACUCAGUCACUAAGUAUUUAUUUGUUUCAACGCCUACAUCUGACAACAAAGAUGUAAUCAUCGGUGCAGUCAUUGGUGCUUGCAUGCUUCUACUGUGUGCUGGGCUGGUUCUUGUGGGUGUUUAUGCCUGUCGUAGAAGACCCCUAGCAUCGGAGUCUAAUGAACGACUGGAUGAAGAUAAUGCGAGUAUGACCCCGUCUACCUUUGUCGCCACCCGUGCUCACACUGCCAGCUAUGGCCCCUACAUGGUAGCAUUCGCUCCCCCAGAUCAGGGUGGGGCAUAUGACCCCUCCUUCUACCGCAAGCAGAGUGAUGUGGACAGGGGCUAUAUUCAUUACGAGAAUGCCAGUAUUAAACUUGCAUAGGCAGACUGUGUUUCUCCAGACUUUGCAGUUUCAUGACUGACUUUGUGGAACAAUGCAAGACUUUAGUUGACUGUGCCAUCAUCAGACAUGACGAGGCCGCCAUGAGGCUGAGAGACUGUGUAAGAUCACCUAGAUUAUACUAGUGUCUUACCUGCUGCACCAAAGCAUCACUGUGAUUGUUCUAUAUAGACCUUCAUACAUACAGUGACAGCCAGAAAA